CUGGCUCUGAGUCAAGGCCAGCAGCUUCUUGACGCUGUUGGUUUCAAGCAGGAGCCUAAAGAGAUGUCUUUCUACAGUGAUACAUCCAUGCCCAUUUCAGAACUUGGGCAGUUAAAUCUUGGAAGCAGCCUGU
Molecule: small nucleolar RNA, 133 nt
Organism: Cavia porcellus (domestic guinea pig)
Lineage: Eukaryota; Metazoa; Chordata; Mammalia; Rodentia; Caviidae
Source: Ensembl